Papaver somniferum (opium poppy) is the source of this 1050-nucleotide long non-coding RNA. RefSeq lists it as uncharacterized. NCBI's taxonomy places the organism in Eukaryota, Viridiplantae, Streptophyta, Magnoliopsida, Ranunculales, Papaveraceae. The transcript has 8 exons. The record is from RefSeq and is a predicted model, not a curated record.
UUUUCGCUGUUUCUCCUCCUUCUCUCUGCCUCAAAAAUCCUAAGAGACUCAUCUCUUAACAAACCCUAACAAACUCAUCUGUGUCUCGUUCUCUUCUCUCGUUGUUGUUUCUCGGACAACAAAUUUCACAAGCCGAACGAGAUAAGGUCCAAUCAAAAAAUAAAAAUCGAUCUUAAUUCUUCAUCCGUGAUUUGAGAAGAUAAACCCUAGAACCCAGUAAACGAAAUUAAUAUGCUCUCAUAACAAAUCUAUAUUCUAGUGAAUAACUUAUUUCAAUGGGUUGGGUAAUGAUGAGAAUGAUUUUGAUGUUACUGCUUCUUAGAUUUUUGCAGCGAAAAACAGGGAGCCUUGAUAGCAGAUUUGUUGUUAUGAUGAAAAUUGGGAAAUGCACCUUAGGACUUCCAGGAGCUCUUAAAUUAUUUCUCAGCAGAAGGUUAUCGUUGCAUGCUUGUUCCUUGUGUUCGGGGUAGUAAAACUGCAUGUACAGCUGAGGAGAGCAAGAAAGUCCAUGCAUCAGGAUUUGGUUCUUUUGACUCGAUGAGUUGUGUAUUGGUUAAGUACAAGGGGUCUUGAAAAUAGAACCAAACUAGAUCACCAUGGAGAAGAAAUUGGAAACUCAUUGGAAUGGACUUUACCACAGAUAAGUUGAUAUCUCUUGUAAGAAAGUGGCAGACAUUGAUUGAAGACAACAGACAACUUCACCUUUAGGAUGUUCUGCAUUAGAUUCACCAUGAAGCGAGACAAACAGGUCAAGAGAACCUGUUAUGCUCAAUCUAGCCAGAUUCUACAGGUGCUAUGUUAUGCGAUAAAGAAGAAGUACUUGGAGAUGUUGCAAGAGGCGACAUGAUUAAGUGGCCAAAAACUUAUGUAAAUCUUGUAGGAGAGCUACCAAAUUAGAGUGGCAAGAUUAGAAGUCAGAAAUUUAGUUUUAAUGUUUAGCGUGCAAUUUUAGGUUGAUACUUGAUAUAAUUUAUCUUUCAGUUUGUAGUCAGAGAUUCUAUGUUUUGUAUGUUAUUUUGAGUAUCAAUAUAAUGUUAAAUUUAUCCUUAA